RNAcentral lists this long non-coding RNA (3778 nucleotides) under Coffea arabica (coffee). RNAcentral's name for it is "long non-coding RNA (CARA_LNC008263)". Lineage: Eukaryota; Viridiplantae; Streptophyta; Magnoliopsida; Gentianales; Rubiaceae. The record is from RNAcentral.
UUUUUUUUGUUUUUUUUUUUUUGUUGAUACGAUAGAUUCUUACACUAGGGGGAGGGGAGGAUCUGAAGAGGUCAAAGGGUAAUUCGGAGGGAACUGAACCAUCACCGGAUCAGACGGGUGCACUACAUACCCAUCUGAAUUUUUUAAAUAGAACCACUUUUUUAAUGUUGCGAAUUGAUAGGAGGCAAGAUUUGCUACCAAACUUUAAUACAUUGGUGGUGACCAUCAGCUCAAAGACUGGUGGUUUGGUUAGGUGUACUUGAUAAAGCACUCUUUCAACAACCAAAGCAUUAAAUGUCAAAGCCAUAUCUCUCUCAACAUCUAUCCGAACGACAGAAAUUAUCCUAAAGGGACACAAAUCUACAAAAAUCUUCAUCAAUGAUUGGACUUGUAUGAUUGCCCCACAGGUAGUUCGAUUGGUUCCGUAGUUACCAGUAGGUCCCGUGAUCGACUCCCGUAGGAACACAAAUCUACAAAAAUCUUUAUCAAUUUAUGGAGCAAAAUCUACAACAUGACGAUAAAGCCAUAUCCAACUACUUCUAUGUAGCCAGUCCAUCAAUCCUUUUGUCUAUCCAGUAUUCGGUUGCCUUGAAUUCUUUAGAGAUAUGUAAACCUGGUUCUUUAAUCUUUCUACUACAAAUAGAACUGGCAUGAAUAUCUGACGGAUAAAUGUUGAUUAAAGAUAUUGGUGGUUAUGACUACACUUUUUUUUUUGGGUCCAAACUUAAUUGUUAGAUUACCAAAUAUACAAUUAGUAAAUCUUAUAUACGUUAAUAUUGUAUAGAUUAUCAUGAGUUGAUGCAUAAUACAUGAGUAAAAUUUGGAAUUCAAAUUAAAAUUCAAAUUAGUUUUCAUGCAUCUAAUUUCAAUCUUGAGAGACGUUGCUCUCCUCUCAAAUUUCAUAGUCGUACCUUUAUAUUCUACUUUAUACGUCAGUAAGCUAUAUCUCUUUGCUUGUCACUUCACCGCAUAACACAAUCAUUAAUAGAUCUUGCCCAGUCAACACCAAUAAAAGGCUUUUAUCUUCAAAUAUCCAUAAUUUGAACAUUUGUUUGUCUAACCAUGAACACUCGUUAAAAUAUAUUUCAAGUGUUAAAUUUUUAAAAAUACAAAAUUAAUUAAGAAAAAUAUAUAAAUGCAAGGGGAUUAAUUAUGGAAAGUAUAUAAAUGUAAGGAAAGAUAAUAAUUGUUAGUGUGUUUAUAUACAUAAUAAAUUAAAUGAAAUGUAGGCUUCGAAUCCUCUGUCUCCAAAGUAGUCGUUGUCCCCUCUGUCCCUUAUUUGUACAACUGCCACGUGUUUCUAACCUUUUUUUAACCCAAACUCAAAUAAACCGAUAAUAAUCGGUUUACAAGUUUACUCAAAAUCAAUUAAAACAAAUAACCCAAAACUUUUUUUAUUUUCUUUUUAACAAAAAAGAGUCUUGUUGAUCAUAAACAUAGAAAUCAACUAAAACUCUUCUUUAUUUUUUACCCCAAAUCAUCUUUUUCUUAAACCCUAACAAGUACUUUGAUUCACUCAUUAUAUCUUUAAUCUUGCAACAAAAACAGUCAAAGGAUCAAGUAGCAAGAUUCAAUUUCAUCUUUAUCCAGGUAAAACAAAUCAAUAGAUCAUGUAUGAUCAACAAGACUCUUUUUUGUUAAAAAGAAAAUAAAAAAAAGUUUUGAGUUAUCUGUUUUAAUUGAUUUUGAGUAAACUUGUAAACCGAUUAUUAUCGGUUUAUUUGAGUUUGAAUUAACAAAAGGUUAGAGCAGUUGUACAAAUAAGGGACAGAGGGACAGAGACUAAUUUGGGGACAGAGAAUUCGAAGACCUUGAGGUAUCCUAAAGUAGGAUAUAGUUAGAGACUACUUCCAAAACAGAAAAAAUGAACAACCACUUUUGUAAUACCAUAGAUACAUACUAUUUUAAGGAUUAAUUUCAAAAAAGCCCCUUGACAAAUGCCUUUUCAUCAUAUCACGCCCUGAAUGUAUAAUUGAACCAAUUUACUCCCUGUGCUACUAUAAUUUUUUAAAUUAAAUACAAUUGUGUUUCACAGCCCAAUUUCUAGAUGCAUCGGUCUUGUGCAGCACACAUGGAUUUAUGAAUUCACCAAAUUAUUCCCACAAGUUCUUAAUUACCAAAAUUUUUUAGUUACUUACUCAUAAUAAAAAUUCUUUUGAAACAUUCUAGUUUUUCCCUAUAUCUCCAGAAAAAAAAAUUUGGUGCAACUACCGGUUAUUAUCAUAUUUGAAGUUUGUAAUAAUAUACAUUAGCUUAUGGCUUCUAAUUUUGUAUCUUUUGUUACAAUUGAAAAUCGUAUUAAAGAAAUGUGCUUGUUAUGUACAUUACGUUUUAUUACUUUAAAAGUUUUUAUAAAACUGUAGUUAUCCAAAGUCAUCUUGACUUAUUUUAUUAGUUAUAAAUAGCAUGUGGAGUGUAAUUUAGUCAGUUCACAAACCAUGCGUGCCACACAUGAUAGUUCCAAGCAAGCAAAUCUCGCUCAAAAAAAAAAAAAAAGAUAAUAUCAAAAACCUCCCUUAAGGUUUCUCCUAAUAUUACUUGACAUCCCUAAAGUUUUAUAAAUAUUACUUACCUCUCCUAGUAAUUGUAAAAGACUUUGUUAACCCUCACUUGAUACAUAAUUUGCAUAUCAAAUAAAUGGAACUCAAAAAAUUAAGAAAAGAAAUAAAAGUCACUUUCUUCACUUUUUCCUUUUUCAAUAUUCUCUCUUACUCAUUUUUCCUGGAUGACUAUGCAAUUUUUUAUUUGUAAAUUAUAGUAAAUUAAAUUUUCUUUAUCUUUUACUUUUUCUGAUUGUGAUAAAAUAGGAUAUGAUCUCUUUAUUUAUUUUGAGUUGAUUUUCAUAAUGAUCAAUACAAUUUAAAGGUUUGGACACAGACUAAGAAGUUGGGAGCACAUAGAGUUAAAUUGCUGCUACUGUAUUUCUUUGCAAAUAUCUUUUUUGUUUUUCAAAUUUAUAUUUUUAUGGACUAUAACAGUGUGACGUGGUAGUACUAUUAGAAAUUGUUUUUUAAUUGAUGGUUUUUGGGAGUAAACAAAGUGAUUUACGAGUAUGUUUAUUUAGUGAGCAAGUGUAGUUUAGGGCUUUUCAAAAUUUUGUUACAUAAAUAACAAAAGGAAGGGAGGAAAGUGAUAUUUUUAAAACCUUAGGAUUGCUAGGUGAUAUUUAGAAACAUGAGGGAAUGUUUCUAAUAUUAUCCCAAAAAAAUGCAAGUCCAGUUGUCUACUACAUAAAUUUGCCUGUAGUUUUGGUAUGCCUUGUUUAACCAGAAUCUUUGUCAAUGGGAUUGCAUGGUCUUAACAUGUUUAUUACAACAAAUAGCUAUCAUAGGUCUAAUUGAGGUGGGUGAAUGCACCAUAGAAACCCGCCUAAUCUCUUCCCUUUUGGACAUGCAUACAUGCUUGUCUUAAAGUAGGAAAUGCAUUUCUGCCAACACUUGAUAUUUAGCCCAAAUUAACUGCUCUGACACCAACAUUAGCAGUAGUUACAAAAUAACAGUUAUGUUGAAGCUGAACAAGAUACAAGAUGAUAUAGGUCUAAGGGAGGCCGGAAAGAACAAGAUUAACAUCACAUCGCUUUAUCGCCAUUAUUAUGUCAAAGUGUAACUGACUAUAGUCCUGCUCAUCACUGUAAACUAAAACUUAUGUGUACACAUUCUACAAAACACAAGCCCCCUAGAACAGAACCAGGCACAUGUAUCAGACAUCAAAUUAGUUCAAAAUGAAUGUAGCCCAGGAAGGGGACGGCGAAGUCGAUGCAACAACAAACAAUGUCUUC